Molecule: ribosomal RNA, 229 nt
Filed under: uncultured bacterium
Lineage: Bacteria
Description: partial 16S ribosomal RNA
Rfam family: Bacterial small subunit ribosomal RNA
Source: RNAcentral
CGGGGUGAGGGAUACAUCGGAAUCUGCCUUAUCGUGGGGGAUAACGUAGGGAAACUUACGCUAAUACCGCAUACGACCUACGGGUGAAAGCGGGGGAUCGCAAGACCUCGCGCGAUAAGAUGAGCCGAUGUCAGAUUAGCUAGUUGGCGGGGUAAUGGCCCACCAAGGCGACGAUCGGUAGCUGGUCUGAGAGGAUGAUCAGCCACACUGGAACUGAGACACGGUCCAG